Long non-coding RNA from Chenopodium quinoa (quinoa), 2544 nucleotides. RefSeq lists it as uncharacterized. The record is from RefSeq and is a predicted model, not a curated record. The transcript is spliced from 3 exons. NCBI's taxonomy places the organism in Eukaryota, Viridiplantae, Streptophyta, Magnoliopsida, Caryophyllales, Amaranthaceae.
GUGUCAAAAGAAGUUGGUUUUAAUUGUAAAGAGGUGCACUUUUAUUAGAGGUGAGAGAAAGCAAUUUGAGUACUUUACUAAGGAGAGUGAGAAAUUGAAGAGAGAGAAAUUCAAGGGGUGAAGAGACGUGAGACCAAGAAUUCAAGGAGACGAAGCCUUUGAGCUCAGAAAUUCUGGGUCGGUGAAGUUGUCGCGGUUCCAAAGUACGUUUUGGAACGAUUUGUGGCUUGGGGUGAAGAUAUUGUGUAAUGAAUUUGCAUUAUAACAACAAUUACAGGGUAGUUUGAAAAAAAAUCAUGAGAAAUGUACCUGCUGUUUCGUCUAGCAAACAGACGGAUAAGAGGAAACUGAAAGUUUUAGUUGAGGAGGAUAAGGACGCUGACAAAUAUUCAUAUGAAGGCUUGGUUAGUGAUUAUGAUGCUGAUUAUGUGGUAGAAGAGGAAGAAGAAGGUGCACAAGAGGAGUCAAAAGCUGGUGAUUAUGAGGAUGAGGUGGAGUACGUAGUUAGUCGUAGUGGCCAGAAGCGUAAACUGGUUCAACAACUAACAACUAUUCAGAGUAGACCGGUUCAAUAACGACAGAUGUCUGUUAGAAAGGUGAAGCGGCCAGCAGCAGUAGAGAGGCCUUUUGUAGAGAGGCCGGCAACAGUAGAGAGGCCUUUGUAGAGAAGCCGACAGCAGUAGAGGGGCCAUUUGUAGAGAGGCCAACAGCAGUAGAGAGACCAUUUAUGGUGGAGAGGCAGUUUGUAGUAGAACAAGAUAAGGUAAAGUAAUUAGUGUUUUAAAAAGGUUGAAGAUUAGAUGACUAUUUAAUGGAAAUUUUGUGUGGAACUACCCUAAAAAUAGACUAUUUUGUGAACAACUACCCGUUUUCAAAAAUAUUGUUUAGAACUACCCGUACGAUCGCAAAAGUUUGUCUAACACUACCCAUUAACGGUUUCCGUCCAAUUGAGCUGUUUGUGGGGCCCAUUUCUAUGAAUUCCCACCCAAAUAACUCCCCCUCAACUAUCUCUCUCUUCCUUAUACUAUCCCUCCAUUUUCACUCUUCUUCUUUUACCUUCCACCAUUCACCAUCUUAAACCCUAACCAAACUCCCAAAAUUCAUCCCCUUUGUGGAAAAUUAACAAGGCCUAUAACUCUUUUCUUUGCUUUCUCUCUCUUUCCUCUUCAUCUUCUUACUACUUUCGGUAUUUAUAUGUCAGAGGGUGAAACUAUCAAUGGUUAAAGGAAAGGGCAAAGUUAAUUGACGAAAUAAGAAAAAUUCCUAAUUCAAUUCAAGCCAUAAAACCUAAAAAUUAAAAUCCCCAAACUGAAUUAUUGAAGCCCUAAACCCUAAAUUGAAUCCCUAAUUAUGUUAAUUGAAGUAAAUUAAGAACCUUAAACCAAUGAAUAUACUAAGAAUUGAAAUAAUAGCUUAAAACAUUUCCAUAUUUAGUGAUAAAUUGUGGUGAAUUUAGAUUUUUGGAUGAGUUUAGAGGGAAAGUAAUGAAGGAGGAGAGAAUUAAGUGAGAAACCGUAUGAGUGGGCCCCACAAACGACUCAAUUGGACGGAAACCGUUAAUGGGUAGUACAAGACAAACAUUUGCCAUCUUAUGGGUAGUUUUAAACAAUAUUUUUUAAAACGGGUAGUUGUUCACAAAUCAGCCUAUCUUUAGGGUAGUUUUACACAAAAUUUCCCUAUUUAAUUGUGUAUUUGUUUGUAUAUAUAUGAAAUAUAUAUAUAAAUUAGACUUAAGCAUGUCAAUUUUUUUUUGGUUUUUGGUUUGUAUCUUGAUUUGGAACCGGGCCCAUCGGUCGAUGAUAAGGUGAAGAUGAAUGGGGUGGUGGUUAGUACUCAGUUGAGGAACUGUAGCAGGAAGGACCGACGAGAAGAAAAUUGAGCUACUGGAGAGCUGUUGCUUCGGCGGGAUGCUGAUGUUGAAAGUGAAAACAUUGGAUCGUAGGUUUUGUUAUUGGCUCAUAACUAGGGUCGACCCUAAGAAGAAGUUAUUUAUAGGAGUUGGUGGGAAGGAGUUACCGCUAGGUCCUGAGCAAUGGAUGUGCAUACUUAGUCUCCCACUGGAUCCAAACCCCAUGCCGGUUGUAGUUGAGGAUGUAGUUAUGUAGAGUAAAGCUGAUGACAUUGUUAGGAAUUUCGGUGAGGUGAAUUCUAGUGGCUGGGAAAGUAUUCCGAUACAAAAGGCCUAUGAUUCUUUAGGUUUCAUGCCAAUCAAAAUAGAGGAGGAGAAGGACCAUUUUAUGAGGGCGUUCUUAAUAGUUGUGUUGGGUGGUAUCUUGUGUCCUACUAAAAAUGGUCAGAGCAUGGCACUAGCCUACUGCCCGCUGUUACAGUUGGGGCUAUUGCCAGUCAAUUUGAUUGGUGUACUUGUGGUCAUAGUUGGUUGAUGAGUUGUUUGCGAGAUUUUCACAAAAAGUUUGAAGAUAAAGGCUUUGUUGCUGGUGGUGGGGAUGCGGUCUAUUUCUGAUGGUGAGUUUAUGUGAAGUUCAUAUUUUUUAUUGGCGUGUUGUAUAUUUAAUUGGAAAAGGACUAAUAUGCUUUUGGUUA